UUUCCCAAGGCCAGAUGCAAACUUGAAACCGGACGGUUUAAGUGAGAGAGGAGACCACCAGGAGUCUUCAGGCGUGAUCUGAAGGGUGAUCGGAACAGUAAAUGGGUUAGAAUUUUAGAGAGAAGGUAGGGAGGUUUUAGAGAGAAGGAGGAGAGUUUGAGAUUUUCAGAAGGUUGAGAUUGAGGAAGAAGAAGAAGAUUGCAUGCAAAAGUGGCGUCAGAUUUCAUUCCCACCUUAUAUACUGCCUCCGGUCCGAACGGUCGGCCAACUCCAACGUGACACCUGACUUCCACUCCCUGGGGUUUCUCUGCUAUGCUGAUACUGCACGGAUCACGAGGGAAGGGAAUUAAAAGUUUGACAGAGUUUGUCUCCCACUCACUAGGGGAGAACCGGACGGUGACACAUGUACCCCACUAAGGAAGGUA
This 425-nucleotide long non-coding RNA is filed under the name Vigna radiata. RNAcentral describes it as "long non-coding RNA (VRAD_LNC010297)". Lineage: Eukaryota; Viridiplantae; Streptophyta; Magnoliopsida; Fabales; Fabaceae. The record is from RNAcentral.